Molecule: unclassified non-coding RNA, 21 nt
Filed under: Dictyostelium discoideum
Lineage: Eukaryota; Evosea; Eumycetozoa; Dictyosteliales; Dictyosteliaceae
Source: RNAcentral
GCGGAACGGGUAGAGUGAGAU